UUAGGCUCCCAAAGGCACGUG
Molecule: non-coding RNA, 21 nt
Filed under: Arabidopsis thaliana (thale cress)
Lineage: Eukaryota; Viridiplantae; Streptophyta; Magnoliopsida; Brassicales; Brassicaceae
Source: RNAcentral